RNAcentral lists this ribosomal RNA (642 nucleotides) under uncultured soil bacterium. RNAcentral describes it as "bacterial SSU rRNA". It matches the Rfam family "Bacterial small subunit ribosomal RNA", at positions 35 to 720 of the family's 1533-position model. The record is from RNAcentral.
GCUGGCGGCAUGCCUAACACAUGCAAGUCGAACGCCUGUAGCAAUACAGGAGUGGCGCACGGGUGAGUAACGCGUGGGAACCUGCCCUGGAGUGGGGGAUAACCGAGAGAAAUUUCGGCUAAUACCGCAUACGUCCUGAGGGAGAAAGAUUUAUCGCUCUAGGAGGGGCCCGCGUCGGAUUAGCUAGUUGGUGGGGUAAUGGCCUACCAAGGCAACGAUCCGUAGCUGGUCUGAGAGGAUGAUCAGCCACACUGGGACUGAGACACGGCCCAGACUCCUACGGGAGGCAGCAGUGGGGAAUAUUGGACAAUGGGGGCAACCCUGAUCCAGCAAUGCCGCGUGAGUGAUGAAGGCCUUAGGGUUGUAAAGCUCUUUCGGCGGGGACGAUGAUGACGGUACCCGCAGAAGAAGCCCCGGCUAACUUCGUGCCAGCAGCCGCGGUAAUACGAAGGGGGCGAGCGUUGUUCGGAAUUACUGGGCGUAAAGGGCGCGCAGGCGGCUCUGAAAGUCAGAUGUGAAAGCCCCGGGCUUAACCUGGGAACUGCAUUUGAUACUCUGGAGCUUGAGUACGGGAGAGGAGAGUGGAAUUCCCAGUGUAGAGGUGAAAUUCGUAGAUAUUGGGAAGAACACCCGGUGGCGAAG